GAGGAGGUGUUUGGAGGACUCACUGUGGUGAAUGUUAAUUUGUGUUUGUUGUUGUUCAUUAUUGUAUUAUUGUAUGUAUGACUGCAGGCACGAAAUUCCGUUCAGACUGUAAGGUCUGAAUGACAAUAAAGGUAAUUCUAUUCUAUUCUAUUCUAUUCUAUUCUAUGCUGAAUAUCUGUGUUUUAAUACAGCUACAACAGGAUCUACUACUGCAACUACUCCUCCUGAUACAACGUUAACAUCAGUUCCAUCAUCAUCGACGAGCACAACAGAAACAUCCACCCAGAGCUCCACCACACCACAAACAAGUGAAACAACAACUGAUGUCAGUUCCACAACAUCAGAACUGACUCCAACAGGAUCUACUACUGCAACUACUCCUCCUGAUACAACGUUAACAUCAGUUCCAUCAUCUUCGACGAGCACUACAGAAACAUCCACCCAGAGUUCCACUCCACUACAAACAGCUACAACAGGAUCUUCUACUGCAACUACUCCUCCUGAUACAACGUUAACAUCAGUUCCAUCUACAUCGACGAGCACAACAGAAACAUCCACCCAGAGCUCCACCUCACCACAAACAAGUGAAACAACAACUGAUGUCAGUUCCACAACAUCAGAACUGAGUAUGUAAAGAUUUGUCCAUUACCAAUGUGCAUGUUAUCCAUCAGUGUCCGCGAAACAAGUUCAUCUGAUCAAUUGUACCAAUGAUAUAAUCCGUCCUGUUUCAAGCACACCUGCAUAAUAACACUUAACCCAUUACUAUUGAAUGGUGUGUUGAUAAUAGAUUUCUGUGAUACAUCUCUCUUGCUUAUAUAUCUUGAGUGAUUUAGACGUAAAUCAAUUGAUUUCAUGUCAUAUUCCAUGCUGUUAUUCUUUGAAAAAAUGGCUCUGGACUUUGAUUGUUUUUUAAAAGCUUCCCAUUUCUUUAUCUUGACUGUACCUUGACUGGUUAAAAUUCUCUCUCAUUGGGACCCGUAAUACUGACACUCUUGCUUGAACCACACUAUGUAUCUCAUCCCUGUAUUAUGUAAAUGAUAAAGAACUUAAGCAAUUAAUUUAAUGUUAAGUUCGAUGCUUUAACAUCAGUUCCAUCCACAACUGCAACACCAUUCACUUCAGAGACAAUAAGCACAACAGAAACAACAACCACCCAGAGC
This is a long non-coding RNA of Leucoraja erinaceus (little skate), 1160 nucleotides long. RefSeq lists it as uncharacterized. Lineage: Eukaryota; Metazoa; Chordata; Chondrichthyes; Rajiformes; Rajidae. The record is from RefSeq and is a predicted model, not a curated record. The transcript has 3 exons.